UUAAUGUCAUGACACUUGGACUCGCUCUCAGUAAACUACUUGUACCUGUCGGAGUGCUGCCUGUAGACCUGCUCUCUGUUCCUCCUGUUGGAUUUUGUGUAAUAAAGCUCAACUUCACUCACCUCCAGUCUGACUCCUACUCCUUCCGUGACAAGUACAACUAGCAGGAGAAAAGUAAUAAUUAAGAUGGACUUUGUCCUAUGGAGUGGGGAUGGCACAAGUGUGGCGAGGGAUUUGUGCCAAUUAAGACAACCCUACCUCCUGCUCCCGAGAAGCUAAUGAAGGUCAUAAGGUGUAGCUGCCAGUCUGACUGCAGCACCCUGAGAUGCAGUUGUUAAAAAAAACAAAAAAAAAAAACACAAUAUAGAAUGCACCCGGCCAGUGGACACUGCAGGGGGGCGAGCUGCACAAACUCAAUGCAGAUGGCCUGUGAUGAGAAUGAAGAUGAGAUUUUCUAUUAGUGCAUUGUACUCAUCCUCCAGAAACAGUCCCACAGACCCAGCCCCAAAUCCCAUCUCUGCAAUAAUUAAUGAAGGCUGGUUUAAAGUACUUCUUCCUGCCUCUAUGUUUUAAUGCUCAUGGGUAGCCUAAAUAGGUUCCAUUCAGACCUUAACAUUAAGUCUUUUACGGUUAUGUCAAGAUUCAACAAGACCUUUUCACCUGGCUAUACCCAAUGUUUAGAUCUGUUGUGGUAUUUAUGGAAUUAGCACAUACAUAAUUAGAUUAUGCACCAUUUGCCUAUGUUAACAAUUUCAAAAUACUUGUAAUACAUUUUGUUUGUCUUGA
Perca fluviatilis (European perch) is the source of this 786-nucleotide long non-coding RNA. RefSeq lists it as uncharacterized. Lineage: Eukaryota; Metazoa; Chordata; Actinopteri; Perciformes; Percidae. The transcript has 3 exons. The record is from RefSeq and is a predicted model, not a curated record.